GGGCCUGUAGAUCAGCGGUAGAUCGCUCGCUUCGCACGCGAGAGGUCGGGGGUUCAAAUCCCCCCAGGUCCA
RNAcentral lists this transfer RNA (72 nucleotides) under Microcaldota archaeon. RNAcentral's name for it is "Candidatus Micrarchaeota archaeon tRNA-Ala". It matches the Rfam family "tRNA". Rfam says of the family: Transfer RNA (tRNA) molecules are approximately 80 nucleotides in length. Lineage: Archaea; Nanobdellati; Microcaldota. RNAcentral also lists the same sequence under 1 other name. The record is from RNAcentral.